AUAAAUACAUCCAUAUCCAUUGCCAUAGAGAGAUUUCCUUCAUUUUACAAAACACUUAUACACUUAAAUAGAGAGCAAAAACUGAAAAUAAGAAGGAAAGGAGAAGGAAGUAAACCUAGCACUUCCAAUUUAUAUUUCAAUCGAAGAUCUUCAAGUUUUACGGUAAGAUACUUUCUAUGCUUAAGGGGUAUGAUCUUCAUGGUAAUAUUUAUGCUUAAACUAUGCAUGAAAAACCAUAAUAUGAUUAUGGUGGACAAGUCCACAAAGUUAGAUAUCUAUUUAUGCCUUAGGACAAGUCCGAAGGGCACCGGCAAACCGGAAUGUGCAAGUAUGGGUUUGAUUGUAUUCUUUUGUGUGGUAUUAUCAUGAUAAAAAUCCAAGCAUGG
This 386-nucleotide long non-coding RNA is filed under the name Olea europaea (common olive). RNAcentral describes it as "long non-coding RNA (OEUR_LNC012930)". Lineage: Eukaryota; Viridiplantae; Streptophyta; Magnoliopsida; Lamiales; Oleaceae. The record is from RNAcentral.